AAGCAAAUAAAUAAAUUUAAAAAAAAAAAACAGCUAACAUUUAUUCAGGAAUACUACUUGCCAGACAUAGAGCUAACUGCCCUUAGAUAGAUCAUUUCUUUUAAUCCUCUCAACAACCUUAUGGGUUGGUCCCAUUCUACAGAUGAAGCCAGAGAGUUAGGUGACUUGUCCAGAUACACAUAGCCACUGAGUUGGGAGCCGGGAUUCAAAUCCUGGGAGGAGAAGAGAACUAUGGGCACUCUGCUCUAUCCUCAGGCUUCUGGGAUAGGAAUGGCAAGAGACGGGGGUGGGGAAAGGAUGGCAGAAACAGAUUUUUUUUUUUUAAUCAGUCAGCCCUGGGUUUUAUGGUCUUAUAUGAAUAACACACCUAUUCCAGACCCACUUCACACACCCCUGGGCCUACUCUGGAAAGGGUUGGGGAGCAAGGAUAACUUCCCUGCUGUGGGUGAUUCAUCAUGACCCUGGCUUAGUCACAGCAUGUCACCACAAGCCAGCAGAAGAAGCCAGCCCAGGGUGAAUUCUGGUCCUUUGGGAAAGAGACAUGCCUGCUCUUCAUUUCCCCAGGAUGACUGGGAAGAUGCUCCUGGAGUUGCCUGACGGAGAAGCAGAGACGAAAGGAGAAAAGAAAGGGAAGGCUUCCCUGUUCAAGAGAAAAUCACAUCAAAGUCCUCUACUCCCUCCCAUCUAACCAAAGAAAGGCAUUCCUGGGAAUUCCCUGUCGGUCCAGAGAAUGCAAGCCUGGAGCUGCCUGGAGCUGCUGCUGCCACUACAUGAGUGGAGAACCUGCCUGAGAAUGAAGCCACCACCCAGGAAGGCUGAGCCAAGAUGGUUCCAGACACAUUCCUGAUAGUGAGUGCCUGGAAGGAGCCCUACCCUGCAACUGUUAAGCUGCUAAUGCUAAUAAAUGUCCUUUUCUGUUUAA
Orcinus orca (killer whale) is the source of this 922-nucleotide long non-coding RNA. RefSeq lists it as uncharacterized. The transcript is spliced from 3 exons. The record is from RefSeq and is a predicted model, not a curated record. NCBI's taxonomy places the organism in Eukaryota, Metazoa, Chordata, Mammalia, Artiodactyla, Delphinidae.